AAUAUUGGACAAUGGGCGAAAGCGUGAUACAGCCAUGCCGCGCGUGUGAAGAAGGUCUACGGAGUGUAAAGUACUUUAAGUUGGGAGGAAGGGCAGCAAGUUAAUACCUGGCUGAUUUGACGGUACGGACAGAAUAAGCACUGGAUACAUUCGUGUCAUCAGCCGCGGUAAGACGUUGCGUGCAAGCGUUAAUCGGAAUUAGUUGGCGUAAAUCGCGCGUAGGUGGUUUGUUAAGUUGGAAGCGCAAGCCCCGGGCUCAACCUGGGAACUGCUUUCAAAACUGGCAAGCUAGAGUAUGGCAGAGGGUGGUGGAAUUUCCUGUGUAGCGGUGAAAUGCGUAGAUAUAGGAAGGAACACCAGUGGCGAAGGCGACCACCUGGGCUAAUACUGACACUGAGGUGCGAAAGCGUGGGGAGCAAACA
This 422-nucleotide ribosomal RNA is filed under the name uncultured bacterium. RNAcentral describes it as "partial 16S ribosomal RNA". It matches the Rfam family "Bacterial small subunit ribosomal RNA", at positions 360 to 774 of the family's 1533-position model. The record is from RNAcentral.